AUUGCCUCAGUAACGGCGAGUGAAGCGGCAACAGCUCAAAUUUGAAAUCUGACUUCGGUCCGAGUUGUAAUUUGCAGAGGAAGUCUCGGGUGCGAUAACCGGUCUAAGUUCCUUGGAACAGGACGUCAUAGAGGGUGAGAAUCCCGUAUGCGACUGGUGGUCAACCCCAUGUGAGGCCCCUUCGACGAGUCGAGUUGUUUGGGAAUGCAGCUCAAAAUGGGUGGUAAAUUUCAUCUAAAGCUAAAUACCGGCCAGAGACCGAUAGCGCACAAGUAGAGUGAUCGAAAGAUGAAAAGCACUUUGGAAAGAGAGUUAAAAAGUACGUGAAAUUGUUGAAAGGGAAGCGCUUGCAACCAGACUUGCCCGCGGGUGAUCCACCGUCCUUUGGGACGGUCUAUUCUCCCGUGAUCAGGCCAACAUCGGUUUUGGCGGCUGGAUACAGGCCCCGGGAAUGUGGCUCUCUUCGGGGAGUGUUAUAGCCCGGGGUGCAAUGCGGCCAGCUGGGACCGAGGACCGCGCUUCGGCUAGGAUGUUGGCGUAAUGGUUGUCAGCGACCCGUCUUGAAACACGGACCAAGGAGUCUAACAUCUAUGCGAGUGUUUGGGUGUCAAACCCAUACGCGAAAUGAAAGUGAACGGAGGUGGGAACCCCCCGGGGCGCACCAUCGACCGAUCCUGAUGUCUUCGGAUGGAUUUGAGUAUGAGCAUAGCUGUUGGGACCCGAAAGAUGGUGAACUAUGCCUGAAUAGGGUGAAGCCAGAGGAAACUCUGGUGGAGGCUCGCAGCGGUUCUGACGUGCAAAUCGAUCGUCAAAUUUGGGUAUAGGGGCGAAAGACGUAAGUGACACCUUUGAUGUUGUUGAACGAGAAAUUUAGCUAUACAUGUGAAAAUAGUAAUCGAACCAUCUAAUAGCUGG
RNAcentral lists this ribosomal RNA (915 nucleotides) under Baeomycetales sp. JL-2019b. RNAcentral's name for it is "partial large subunit ribosomal RNA". It matches the Rfam family "Eukaryotic large subunit ribosomal RNA", at positions 74 to 954 of the family's 3401-position model. Lineage: Eukaryota; Fungi; Ascomycota; Lecanoromycetes; Baeomycetales. The record is from RNAcentral.